UUCUGUAUUAUGUAUUUUUGUCAACGCCAAUAAAUUUCUUUGAUUUGUAUUUCUUUUCAACAUUCUUUUAUUUUCUUUUUUUUUUUCUUUGAAAUUUUGUUUACAUUUUUAUUUGUGUAAUGGGAAAUACCGUCACUAGCUCUUGGGCCAGGGAAUGAGAGGCUAUGUAGAUAUUCAUUAUUUGGUUAAAUUGACCUUAAUUAAUUAAAAAUCUACCCAAAAUGAGCCAGGAAACAAAGCCUUUGGGAGUUACUUUUAUUUAGAUAUAAUAUUCCAUAUAGCAGAGUCACGAUUCAUUUUCACAUUUUUAUUUGAAUGUGAAAGUCAACCUCAGCCUUAGAAGAUGUAAGAUUUGUGUGUGAAAUAUCAAGCACUCCAUGUCCUCCUCUAGAGAGUGUGACUUAAGUCCAGAUGGUCCAAGACCAUCCCCCAAAUCAUCAGCUCUGAUUGCAGGAUUCAUCAGUUUGCCGUUCUGUUGCAAUCCCAGUGGAGAUAAAAGCAUAGACCUAGAAAAAGCCUUAAGAAGGAAGGUUGCAAGUGCCCCCAGCUUGCACUUGAGGAAGGGGUAAACCUUGCCACUGCACUCCUCUGUAGCUGCUCCACUGUGAGUUGACUGCUCGGCCUUGUACACACCCCUCCUAGAAAGACGUUUAAGCCCCUAUUUCCCUUCUCUGGUGGUCAGUUCCUCUGCUCAGACGACCCCCUUCCCCACUCAUUAAGGUAAUUGGCCAGGCAGGCUCAUGGGUCACGUGCUGAGUCUGCAAUGUACAGAAUCCAGACCACCACAUGGCAUCAGCACCAUGGGUGUUUGCUCCCUGAGCAGUAGUUGUCACCCAUCAUUUGCUCUGUUUCCCCCACCAUCAGUCCCAAAGCCCUAGACUAAACCAGAGAGCAAAUUAGGUCGUGUUUGUUCCUGAAUGGGCCAACUGGAGCCUUGAGACAGUGGGCAGUGGUCUGCUCUGCUGGUUUGAUGGACGGCUCCCUGAGGUAGACUCUUUCCCAGCAGAAUGUUAAGAUCCCCAAAGGGUCCCCAAAGGUGCCUUUGCUUGUAGGGAGAAGUUUCUGUCUUGUCACAGGGUGUGGUCAUCCCCACUGUCUCCCAGUUGUUAAAAUAAUUGUUACCUUUUCUUUUGGGAAGAAAUAAUCUGUAGAUAAUGGAACCAACUGCUGCUUAUCGGUAGGAUUCCAUGUUCCAGGAAGGAUGCGGCCUGAGGGUCAGUGGAGCUGUGUUCUGCCUUCCUCCUCUAGUCCCAUCUUGUCACCCUGGAGGACUGUCUUCAAUUGAGCUUUACUAGAAAGUCUUGAAACAUGAGCCCUGCAGAGGCCUUGAUUUAGCAAGUUGUGCCCUGCUUAUAUGUGCUGAUUUAAGCUAAUCAAAUGAUUUAAUAGUGCUUUUUAAAAAAGAGUACUCCUGGCCGGGUGGGGUGGCUCACACCUGUAAUCCUAGCACUUUGGGAGGCCAAGGCAGGUGAUCACCUGAGAUCAGGAGUUCAAGACCAGCCUGGCCAACAUUGUGACACCCCGUCUAUACUAAAAAUACAAAAAUUAGCCGGGCAUGGUGGCAGGCACCUGUAAUCCCAGCUACACAGGAAGCUGAGACAGAAUUGCUUGAACCCGGGAGGCGAAGGUUGCAGUGAUCUGAGAUCAUGCCACUGCACUCCAGCCUGGGUGAAAGAGCGAUACUCCGUCUCAAAAAAAUAAAGAGUACUCUGGCCGAGUGCAGUGGCUCACGCCUGUAACCCCAGCACUUUGGGAGGCCAAGGCAGGCAGUUCGCUUGAGGUAAGGGGUUUGAGACCAGUCUGGCCAACAUGGGGAAACCCCGUUUCUACUAAAAAUACAAAAAUCAGCUGGGCAUGGUGGCAGGCGCCUGUAAUCCCAGCUACUCGGGAGGCUGAGGCAGGAGAAUCACUUGAACCCAAGAGGCGGAGGUUGCAGUGAGCCGAGCUUAUGCCACUGCACUCCAGCCUAGGCGAUGGAGUGAGGCUCUGAUUCAAAAAUAAAAAUAAGAGUACUCUGUGGACUUUUCAUAAAGUGCAACUUAGUGCUUUGUUUUUCUAAUACUAGAUUUUACUUGCAGAUAGAAAUAUAACAAUGCCACAAAUGAGAAGGCUCAAGUUGUUUAAAUACAUGUUUGCUCCUGGCUUACCUCUUCUUCACUAUCCC
Molecule: long non-coding RNA, 2164 nt
Filed under: Homo sapiens (human)
Lineage: Eukaryota; Metazoa; Chordata; Mammalia; Primates; Hominidae
Description: non-protein coding lnc-SLC12A3-2:4
Source: RNAcentral